Molecule: RNase P RNA, 351 nt
Filed under: Clostridium sp. C105KSO13
Lineage: Bacteria; Bacillati; Bacillota; Clostridia; Eubacteriales; Clostridiaceae
Description: Bacterial RNase P class A
Rfam family: Bacterial RNase P class A
About the family: Ribonuclease P (RNase P) is a ubiquitous endoribonuclease, found in archaea, bacteria and eukarya as well as chloroplasts and mitochondria. Its best characterised activity is the generation of mature 5'-ends of tRNAs by cleaving the 5'-leader elements of precursor-tRNAs. Cellular RNase Ps are ribonucleoproteins.
Source: Rfam by way of RNAcentral
UAAGCAAGACAGACAAUCGCGGCUGCAGGUGCCGAAAGGCAGCAGACGAGGAAAGUCCGGGCUUCACAGGGCAGGAUGCCGGAUAACGUCCGGUGGAGGCAACUCUAAGGCCAGUGCAACAGAAAUAAACCGCCCGGGUUUAUCCCGGGUAAGGGUGGAAAGGCAGUGUAAGAGACUACCGCCUCCCUGGUAACAGAGAGGGCACAUGUAAACCCCAUCCGAAGCAAGACCGAAUAAAAGCUGUGUGGCGGCCCGUCACGCUUUAGGUAGGUCGCUUGAGCCUGGUGGCGACAUCAGGCCUAGAUAGAUGAUUGUCCAAGACAUAACCCGGCUUACAGUCUUGCUUAACCA